UACGUAGGUGGCAAGCGUUGUCCGGAUUUACUGGGCGUAAAGGGAGCGUAGGUGGAUAUUUAAGUGGGAUGUGAAAUACUCGGGCUUAACCUGGGUGCUGCAUUCCAAACUGAAUAUCUAGAGUGCAGGAGAGGAAAGUAGAAUUCCUAGUGUAGCGGUGAAAUGCGUAGAGAUUAGGAAGAAUACCAGUGGCGAAGGCGACUUUUUGGACUGUAACUGACACUGAGGCUCGAAAGCGUGGGGAGCAAACAGGAUUAGAUACCCGAGUAGUCC
RNAcentral lists this ribosomal RNA (273 nucleotides) under uncultured Clostridium sp. RNAcentral's name for it is "partial 16S ribosomal RNA". It matches the Rfam family "Bacterial small subunit ribosomal RNA", at positions 524 to 796 of the family's 1533-position model. Lineage: Bacteria; Bacillati; Bacillota; Clostridia; Eubacteriales; Clostridiaceae. The record is from RNAcentral.